This 523-nucleotide ribosomal RNA is filed under the name uncultured Hanseniaspora. RNAcentral describes it as "eukaryotic LSU rRNA". It matches the Rfam family "Eukaryotic large subunit ribosomal RNA", at positions 62 to 584 of the family's 3401-position model. The record is from RNAcentral. Lineage: Eukaryota; Fungi; Ascomycota; Saccharomycetes; Saccharomycodales; Saccharomycodaceae.
AAACCAACUGGGAUUACCUUAGUAACGGCGAGUGAAGCGGUAAAAGCUCAAAUUUGAAAUCUGGUACUUUCAGUGCCCGAGUUGUAAUUUGUAGAAUUUGUCUUUGAUUAGGUCCUUGUCUAUGUUCCUUGGAACAGGACGUCAUAGAGGGUGAGAAUCCCGUUUGGCGAGGAUACCUUUUCUCUGUAAGACUUUUUCGAAGAGUCGAGUUGUUUGGGAAUGCAGCUCAAAGUGGGUGGUAAAUUCCAUCUAAAGCUAAAUAUUGGCGAGAGACCGAUAGCGAACAAGUACAGUGAUGGAAAGAUGAAAAGAACUUUGAAAAGAGAGUGAAAAAGUACGUGAAAUUGUUGAAAGGGAAGGGCAUUUGAUCAGACAUGGUGUUUUUGCAUGCACUCGCCUCUCGUGGGCUUGGGCCUCUCAAAAAUUUCACUGGGCCAACAUCAAUUCUGGCAGCAGGAUAAAUCAUUAAGAAUGUAGCUACUUCGGUAGUGUUAUAGCUUUUUGUAAUACUGUUAGCCGGGUA